Long non-coding RNA from Solanum tuberosum (potato), 421 nucleotides. RefSeq lists it as uncharacterized. The transcript has 3 exons. NCBI's taxonomy places the organism in Eukaryota, Viridiplantae, Streptophyta, Magnoliopsida, Solanales, Solanaceae. The record is from RefSeq and is a predicted model, not a curated record.
UCUAGCAACAUAGUAUAGCAAAAUGGAUAGCAAGAUUUCUUCAACAAAGCUGGCUUGUAUUGUUGCUUAUUUACUUUUUGCAUGCUUUUUCCAACUUCUUACGGCAAACGAGGAGGUCAAGUUAAAUGAUGAGUUAAAAGUCAUGCAACUUCCGGAGGCAAACUCAGAAGCACUUGAUGGUGUGUUUCAAGUGUCUGUAACUCGAUAUGAUCGACAACAUGUUGGUUCAAAAUAAAUUGGUGUAUGUAUCGACCCACCUCCUUGUGGAUCUGACGGUGAGUGUGCUAACUCAGGUUGUGGCCACAGAUGUUUGAGGGAUGGGUGGGGGUUUUCGUGUCUGUCACAUUUAAAAUUGUAUGCCAUGGCAUGGAACUCUUAUGGUUUUUCUUAUCAGAAUAAAAUUGUGUGUAUUUGAAAGUUU